GUGGGGAAUCUUCCGCAAUGGACGAAAGUCUGACGGAGCGACGCCGCGUGAGUGAUGAAGGCCUUCGGGUCGUAAAGCUCUGUCAUCGGGGACGAACGGCCUCAGCAGGUAAUGGCUGGGGAUUGACGGUACCCGAGAAGGAAGCCACGGCUAACUACGUGCCAGCAGCCGCGGUAAUACGUAGGUGGCAAGCGUUGUCCGGAAUUAUUGGGCGUAAAGCGCGCGCAGGUGGGAUCUUAAGUCCAUUUUGAAAGUUCGGAGCUCAACUCCGUGAGGGGAUGGAAACUGGGAUUCUUGAGUACCGGAGAGGAAAGCGGAAUUCCCCGUGUAGCGGUGAAAUGCGUAGAUAUGGGGAGGAACACCAGUGGCGAAGGCGGCUUUCUGGACGGUGUCUGACACUGAGGCGCGAAAGCCAGGGGAGCGAACGGGAUUAGAUACCCUAGUAGUCC
This 449-nucleotide ribosomal RNA is filed under the name uncultured bacterium. RNAcentral describes it as "partial 16S ribosomal RNA". It matches the Rfam family "Bacterial small subunit ribosomal RNA", at positions 354 to 796 of the family's 1533-position model. The record is from RNAcentral.